This 775-nucleotide transfer RNA is filed under the name uncultured cyanobacterium. RNAcentral's name for it is "partial contains 16S ribosomal RNA, 16S-23S ribosomal RNA intergenic spacer, and 23S ribosomal RNA". The stretch from base 268 to 340 matches the Rfam family "tRNA". The record is from RNAcentral. Lineage: Bacteria; Bacillati; Cyanobacteriota.
CAGGGGGACAACACAAUGAUUUUGAUGCCUGAGUGCUUUUAUUCUUAGGCCGAAAUCCUGUCACCUUAGGUCGAUCGGUACCUCAGCUUUGAAGUCAAGGAUCAGCAGCAAUGUUGAUUGCUUGAUGGAGAUUUUCAGUUCCUAAACUUUGUCUAGGUCACACCCCAAAAGGGAUGAGACUCCUGGGCCAUUAGCUCAGGUGGUUAGAGCGCACCCCUGAUAAGGGUGAGGUCCCUGGUUCAAGUCCAGGAUGGCCCAUUCGGUGUUGGGGGUUUAGCUCAGUUGGUAGAGCGCCUGCUUUGCAAGCAGGAUGUCAGGAGUUCGAGUCUCCUAACCUCCACUGACCGAACUUGAUUCCCAUCUCCAAUUUUUUUGGAGUUGAGCUCGAUUGGAGUGUGAUUUAGAUGUGUCCGCUGGAUGACCCCAGCUUCCUGUCAUUCCAAGUUUUAGGUUGAUGCCUUGAAUUUGGUUGAUAAGAUGCUGGGCUCGGAUCAAAUGAUCAAGCAAUUGAUGAUUUGAUUUGAAGUUCUAGCAGAACCUUGACAACUGCAUAGGUGAGUCUGGAAAAAACAAAGCAUCUUACAGAUGCAUUGUUUUGAAUCUGAUCUUCUGAAAGGGAGAUUGGACCUAGAACAAUGAAAAUUCUUUUGAGCAAGAGCCGAGACUCUUGAGCGUUCUUUGAUUGGUGUCGAGCCAAUCAGAGUUUGAUCUUGUUUUUAGCAAUAAAAACUUGAGAAUCUGCUUUCAACGGCGGUAAGCGUUCAGGAGGUUAAUU